GGGCGCGCCUACAAAAUGGCGGCCUGGCGCCUGCGGCUGUGUCGGACAGGGGUUGGCGGCGGGCAGCCGGCUGUCGCGGGGACGUGGCCCCAGCACCCCCUGGGGGGGCGGCCGGACGCUGCUGAGGGAAAUCAGGGUGGAGAGAGAAUAACUAUACCCUCUGUCAGGCUUUCUCCUCUGAGAAACGUAGCUCAUGUGGCUGCGGUGGGAACCGAGGGUGCACAGCAAGGUACGGAUGGGAAGAGAAGGCACGAAGGAGAGUUGUCUAGCAGACUUGUUUCAGGGUAUCACUUCAUCUCCUCAGUAUUCCCAAGACAAUGAUAACACUUCUCCAUUUUAUGCAAAGUUUAGAGAGCGUUGGAUGAAAGAUGAGUACCGCUGUUUUAUUAUUGUUAUUAUUAUUCUUUAAUUUUGUGACCACAAAUCCCACCAUUCCUGUAGCUUACAGUUUCAAAAGCUAUCAUGGCCUGUCCCUCCCUGAUUUCUGGUGGGAAAAAUUACUUGGAAAUGUUAUUCUUCAAUCAGUCUGAACUCUGAGCAGAUGCCUGAUUUUUUCCAUUUCAUCACUGCUGCCUCCUUUCCCUCCUCCUUCUUAUUUUGUGGUCAAGAGCAUUUGCGUCUGCCAAAAGCAACAGUUUUAAUGGGGAGCUUGAAGGUCAAAACUCAGAAGGAAACAGUGUGUGACUCAGAAACUGAGUAUAUAUGCUGUCAUCCUUGGUUCUGCUAUUGCUUGUUAGUACAGGCAUUGUGUAAACUAAGGACUCCUUGGUAUGUGCUGUUUGCUGGGGGAGCAUCACACAUUAAAGGAGCGAGAACCAGGGAGCACUGACCAGAUAAAACCGCUUGGUUAGGUUUCAAGGCCAGUGAAUGGGGUAGCUUAAUUUUAAAAGUUGCAAUAUUUUGGACUUAAUAAGAGAUUCAGUGGCUUAAAUUCUCUUGUCUCAUGUUGUGCUGUGCCUUGGGGCACGGCAAAUGGUCUCUUAAGUCUGUGAUCUCUCUGUCACUCCCUCAGUAACAGCAUUUGGCAGAGGUACAGGCUACUCUACGCUGAGCAAGGAAGGAAGACUUGGGCUUAUGGAACUAAGAGAGACUAGAUGUAUUAACCAUGUAACCAUGGGGAAAAAGUCAAGUAUUUUCUUCAGAAAAUGCCCUGCUACCAGAAGAACAUGGACUUAUAAAAAAUGUUGACCACUGUUUUUGCAUUGUUCUUUUUGUUUGUUACAACUGCAGACCCUCACACCUUGCAAAUGUUCUCAGACUUGCUCAUUCAGCCUGAAAUGAGUCAAAAGGACAUGCUCACACACUGCCUUCUUGUCACCUU
Molecule: long non-coding RNA, 1321 nt
Filed under: Anser brachyrhynchus (Pink-footed goose)
Lineage: Eukaryota; Metazoa; Chordata; Aves; Anseriformes; Anatidae
Description: lncRNA (ENSABRG00000012644.1)
Source: RNAcentral